GGGGGGGGGGCCACUUCAAACUUUUUUUGGUAGGGGUGAGCAGCUGAGACAUCAAGUACCCCACCCUUUUCAUAUAUUUUGUUAAUCAAAAAUAUAUACCUUGUCAUAUAUUGAUUAACAAAAAACAGACCUAUAGAUAUAUUUCAAUAUUUUCCCCGGUCAUCAUCUUGUUAAGAAGCAAAAUAGUCACAAUAAUAUCACCUUCUCUUCCAAUAAAUUCGUCACAUCUUAAACACUUUUUUCUUAUUGCCCAUUUUACGUCUUUCAUUAUGAAGAUAUUUCAAUUCCAAAAAAUAAUAUAUAAAAGACGUUGGUCAGAUCAUAGAUGGUAUUACAUCUAUGGUCAGAUAAAUGUAAUAUCAACCCAAAGUGUAAUACCUUCACUGAUUUUAACAUGGUUA
Molecule: long non-coding RNA, 401 nt
Filed under: Mytilus galloprovincialis (Mediterranean mussel)
Lineage: Eukaryota; Metazoa; Mollusca; Bivalvia; Mytilida; Mytilidae
Source: RNAcentral